AGUGAACGCUGGCGGUAUGCCUAACACAUGCAAGUCGAACGGAAGCACAGUAAGAUCUUUCUCUUACGGUUGGCGACUGACGGGCGGGUGAGGAAUACAUCGGCUUCUACUUUUUCUGGGGGGAUAACGUGGGAACGGUUACGCUACUACAUCAUACUUUCUACGGCUGAGAUCAAGAGAGCAUCGCGGCUUUGCCGUCUGAUUUAGACGGUGUCGGGUUGCAUUAGCUAGUUGGUAAGGUAACGGCCUACCAAGGCUACGAUGCAUAGCCGAGCUGAGAGGGUGAUCGGCCACACUGGAACUGAGACACGGUCCAGACUCCUACGGGAGGCAGCAGUGGGGAAUAUUGGACAAUGGGCGCAAGCCUGAUCGAGCCAUGCCGCGUGAGUGAAGAAGGCCUUCGGGUUGUAAAGCCCUUUUGUUGGGAAAGAAAAUCAGCAUAUUAAUCCGCCGAUGUUCUGACGGUACCCAAAGAGUAAGCAACGGCUAACUUCGUG
RNAcentral lists this ribosomal RNA (497 nucleotides) under uncultured bacterium. Its description in RNAcentral is "partial 16S ribosomal RNA". It matches the Rfam family "Bacterial small subunit ribosomal RNA", at positions 29 to 507 of the family's 1533-position model. The record is from RNAcentral.